Molecule: ribosomal RNA, 492 nt
Filed under: uncultured bacterium
Lineage: Bacteria
Description: partial 16S ribosomal RNA
Rfam family: Bacterial small subunit ribosomal RNA
Source: RNAcentral
AGUGAACGCUGGCGGUAGGCCUAACACAUGCAAGUCGAACGGCAGCACAGUAAGAGCUUGCUCUUACGGGUGGCGAGUGGCGGACGGGUGAGGAAUACAUCGGAAUCUACUUUUUCGUGGGGGAUAACGUAGGGAAACUUACGCUAAUACCGCAUACGACCUACGGGUGAAAGCAGGGGAGCUUCGGACCUUGCGCGAUUGAAUGAGCCGAUGUCGGAUUAGCUAGUUGGCGGGGUAAAGGCCCACCAAGGCGACGAUCCGUAGCUGGUCUGAGGGGAUGAUCAGCCACACUGGAACUGCGACACGGUCCAGACUCCUACGGGAGGCAGCAGUGGGGAAUAUUGGACAAUGGGCGCAAGCCUGAUCCAGCCAUACCGCGUGGGUGAAGAAGGCCUUCGGGUUGUAAAGCCCUUUUGUUGGGAAAGAAAAGCAGCAGGUUAAUACCCCGCUGUUCUGACGGUACCCAAAGAAUAAGCACCGGCUAACUUCGUG